Molecule: ribosomal RNA, 253 nt
Filed under: uncultured bacterium
Lineage: Bacteria
Description: partial 16S ribosomal RNA
Rfam family: Bacterial small subunit ribosomal RNA
Source: RNAcentral
GACAGAGGGUGCAAACGUGUUCGGAAUUACUGGGCGUAAAGCGUGUGUAGGCGGCCACGUAAGUCGGAUGUGAAAGCCCCAGGCUCAACCUGGGAAGUGCACUCGAUACUGCGUGGCUUGAGUAUCGGAGAGGUUGGUGGAAUUCUCGGUGUAGAGGUGAAAUUCGUAGAUAUCGAGAGGAACACCGGUGGCGAAGGCGGCCAACUGGACGAAUACUGACGCUGAGAACACGAAAGCGUGGGGAGCAAACAGG